This 494-nucleotide ribosomal RNA is filed under the name uncultured bacterium. Its description in RNAcentral is "partial 16S ribosomal RNA". It matches the Rfam family "Bacterial small subunit ribosomal RNA", at positions 28 to 507 of the family's 1533-position model. The record is from RNAcentral.
GACGAACGCUGGCGGCGUGCUUAACACAUGCAAGUCGAACGGAAAGGCCUGCUUUCCCUUGUGGAUUGCGGGUACUCGAGUGGCGAACGGGUGAGUAACACGUGAGUGAUCUGCCCCAAACUUGGGUAUAAGCCUGGGAAACUGGGUCUAAUUCCCGAUAGGACUGCAGGGUGGUGCCUGUGGUGGAAAACGAUUUUCUAGUGGUUGGGGAUGAGCUCGCGGCCUAUCAGCUUGUUGGUGGGGUAAUGGCCUACCAAGGCGGCGACGGGUAGCCGGCCUGAGAGGGUGGACGGCCACAUUGGGACUGAGAUACGGCCCAGACUCCUACGGGAGGCAGCAGUGGGGAAUAUUGCACAAUGGGCGGAAGCCUGAUGCAGCGACGCCGCGUGGGGGAUGACGGCCUUCGGGUUGUAAACUCCUUUCGACCGCGAGGAAGCCACCUGGUUGGAAGGGUGGUGACGGUAGUGGUAGAAGAAGCACCGGCUAACUACGUG